AUCACAACAAAUUGAUCAACCUCUAUAGAUGAUAAGUGAUGAAUAAUAAAUAAUAAAUGAAGUUUGUAGACAUAAUGGACCGUAGGUUUCUCUUAAAUUUCAUAAAUUUUCUAAAUGUUUUAAUGUUGCAGAGGAGAUCAAAUUGUUUGAUUAAUAAGUUAAUGAUCAAAUAAGUGAUCUGUUACUGAAGGAGAAGCAUCAUGAAAUAAACAAACAAAUCUGAAAUGAAGGGAGUCACUAUCAUUGACAUCAUCAUCAUCAUAAUGCAGAGCAAGAGCAAUGUGAUUAUUCAUCA
Molecule: long non-coding RNA, 295 nt
Organism: Thalassophryne amazonica
Lineage: Eukaryota; Metazoa; Chordata; Actinopteri; Batrachoidiformes; Batrachoididae
Exons: 3
Source: RefSeq, a predicted model, not a curated record